This 240-nucleotide unclassified non-coding RNA is filed under the name soil metagenome. RNAcentral describes it as "partial contains 5.8S ribosomal RNA, internal transcribed spacer 2, and large subunit ribosomal RNA". The record is from RNAcentral.
AACUGAUACUACCUGCGGGAACCUGCGGAAGGAUCAUUAAUGAGAAACUGCCCCUCGCGGGUAGAUCUCCCACCCUUUGUAAACUUACCUUUGUUGCUUUGGCAGGCCCGUCUCCGGACCGCCGGCUUCGGCUGGCCAGUGCCUGCCAGAGGAUUCUAAAACUCUGUCUGUCAGUGUUGUCUGAGUCUAUAUACAAUCGUUAAAACUUUUAACAACGGAUCUCUAGAUCGGAAGAGCACA